CUUCCAUCUGGAGAAUCUGGAGACAGGUGCUGCAUGGCUGUCGUCAGCUCGUGUCGUGAGAUGUUGGGUUAAGUCCCGCAACGAGCGCAACCCUUGCCUUUAGUUGCCAGCAGUUCGGCUGGGCACUCUAAAGGGACUGCCGGUGUUAAACCGGAGGAAGGUGGGGAUGACGUCAAGUCCUCAUGGCCUUUAUGACCAGGGCUACACACGUACUACAAUGGCCGAUACAAAGGGCAGCGACACUGCGAGGUGAAGCCAAUCCCGUAAAAUCGGUCUCAGUCCGGAUUGGAGUCUGCAACUCGACUCCAUGAAGUUGGAAUCGCUAGUAAUCGUGGAUCAGCAUGCCACGGUGAAUACGGGGUUCCCGGGCCUU
Molecule: ribosomal RNA, 373 nt
Filed under: uncultured Desulfobulbus sp.
Lineage: Bacteria; Pseudomonadati; Thermodesulfobacteriota; Desulfobulbia; Desulfobulbales; Desulfobulbaceae
Description: bacterial SSU rRNA
Rfam family: Bacterial small subunit ribosomal RNA
Source: RNAcentral